This 372-nucleotide unclassified non-coding RNA is filed under the name uncultured bacterium. RNAcentral describes it as "contains 16S-23S intergenic spacer region". The record is from RNAcentral.
UCCGGCUUAUCACCGGCAGUUUCCUUAGAGUACCCAACUAAAUGAUGGCAACUAAGGACGAGGGUUGCGCUCGUUGCGGGACUUAACCCAACAUCUCACGACACGAGCUGACGACAGCCAUGCACCACCUGUGCGGGCUCCCGAAGGAGGACCGGCUUUCACCGGCUUCACCCCGCAUGUCAAGCCCUGGUAAGGUUCUUCGCGUCGCGCCGAAUUAAGCCACAUGCUCCGCCGCUUGUGCGGGCCCCCGUCAAUUCCUUUGAGUUUCACCCUUGCGGGCGUACUCCCCAGGUGGAUCACUUAACGCUUUCGCUUGGCCACUACACCACAUGGGCAUAACAGCGAGUGAUCAUCGUUUACGGCGCGGACUAC